AGAGUUUGAUCUUGGCUCAGGAUGAACGCUAGCUACAGGCUUAACACAUGCAAGUCGAGGGGCAGCAUGGGGUUUGCUUGCAAACCCCGAUGGCGACCGGCGCACGGGUGAGUAACGCGUAUCCAACCUACCCCUUAGUAGGGCAUAGCCCGUAGAAAUGCGGAUUAAUACCCUAUGUUCUUCGUUGAUGACAUCUGAGAUGAAGCAAAGGUUCACCGCUGAGGGAUGGGGAUGCGUCUGAUUAGGUAGUCGGCGGGGUAACGGCCCACCGAGCCUUCGAUCAGUAGGGGUUCUGAGAGGAAGGUCCCCCACAUUGGAACUGAGACACGGUCCAAACUCC
RNAcentral lists this ribosomal RNA (340 nucleotides) under uncultured Prevotella sp. Its description in RNAcentral is "bacterial SSU rRNA". It matches the Rfam family "Bacterial small subunit ribosomal RNA", at positions 8 to 339 of the family's 1533-position model. The record is from RNAcentral. Lineage: Bacteria; Pseudomonadati; Bacteroidota; Bacteroidia; Bacteroidales; Prevotellaceae.